GUUGCGGUUAAAAAGCUCGUAGUUGGAUUUCUGCUGAGGACGACCGGUCCGCCCUCCGGGUGAGCAUCUGGUUCGGCCUUGGCAUCUUCUUGGUGAACGUUGCUGCACCUGACUGCGUGGCGCGGUACCCAAGACUUCUACUUUGAGGAAAUUAGAGUGCUUCAAGCAGGCAUACGCCUUGAAUACAUUAGCAUGGAAUAAUAAGAUAGGACCUGGGUUCUAUUUUGUUGGUUUCUAGAGCCGAGGUAAUGAUUAAUAAGGAUAGUUGGGGGCAUUCGUAUUUAACUGUCAGAGGUGAAAUUCUUGGAU
RNAcentral lists this ribosomal RNA (309 nucleotides) under uncultured marine eukaryote. Its description in RNAcentral is "SSU rRNA". It matches the Rfam family "Eukaryotic small subunit ribosomal RNA", at positions 612 to 925 of the family's 1831-position model. The record is from RNAcentral.